GAUGAACGCUGGCGGCGUGCCUAAUACAUGCCAGUCGAGCGAACGGACGAGAAGCUUGCUUCUCUGAUGUUAGCGGCGGACGGGUGAGUAACACGUGGAUAACCUACCUAUAAGACUGGGAUAACUUCGGGAAACCGGAGCUAAUACCGGAUAAUAUUUUGAACCGCAUGGUUCAAAAGUGAAAGACGGUCUUGCUGUCACUUAUAGAUGGAUCCGCGCUGCAUUAGCUAGUUGGUAAGGUAACGGCUUACCAAGGCAACGAUGCAUAGCCGACCUGAGAGGGUGAUCGGCCACACUGGAACUGAGACACGGUCCAGACUCCUACGGGAGGCAGCAGUAGGGAAUCUUCCGCAAUGGGCGAAAGCCUGACGGAGCAACGCCGCGUGAGUGAUGAAGGUCUUCGGAUCGUAAAACUCUGUUAUUAGGGAAGAACAUAUGUGUAAGUAACUGUGCACAUCUUGACGGUACCUAAUCAGAAAGCCACGGCUAGCUACGUG
This 497-nucleotide ribosomal RNA is filed under the name uncultured bacterium. RNAcentral's name for it is "partial 16S ribosomal RNA". It matches the Rfam family "Bacterial small subunit ribosomal RNA", at positions 28 to 507 of the family's 1533-position model. The record is from RNAcentral.